GAACUUUCAAAAUCACUUUGACCCUUUCAGAUUAGAGAUUAGAUCUAAGGCCUUCCAGAAGGAAAUAAUACGUGUGAGUUUAUUACUUUUGUCACCAACUCAGUGUACACCCCGUGUGUGGACAUUUUUGUGAUUUCAAAUAGACCAUAGUUUUUUUUUUCCCUUUGUCCCUUCACUUCCAUUCCGAGCCUAUAAAUAUGCACCCUAGUCACCUGUUUCCUUCCGUUCAUAUCAAAAAUCAUUUCAAAGAGAGAGAAAAGGAAAGACACCAUGGCAGGAAUCAUGCACAAGAUUGAGGAGACCCUCCACAUUGGAGGCAAAAAAGAAGAGCAAAAGAGUGGGAAAUCUGGUGAGGAGCACAAGAGUGGGAAAUCUGGUGAGCACAAAGGUGAACACAAGGGGGAGUACCGUGGUGAGCACAAGGAAGGAUUUGUUGACAAGAUCCAUGGUGAUGGCCAUGGCGAAGGAGAGAAAAAGAAGAAGGAGAAGAAGGAGAAGAAGAAGAAGGAGAAGAAGCAUGGUCAUGAUGGCCAUAGCAGCAGUGACAGCGACAGUGAUUAAAAAUCUUCCACUUUUUCUAAAUAUGAGGUAUCUAUACAUAUUUCUUCUCUACCGCUGCUCAUUGUUUAUGCGGUAGGUGUUCGUUUACAUCAUAAAUUAUAUGGAGGAUCUGUGGCCUGCUAUGCUUCUUAAAUUAUUUCAAGGUCAAAACUUAAAGUUUUAAGAUAAAAUAAAAAUAAAAAUGGCGAACCCCUUGUUGUGUAUAGAUGCUAAAUCACCGGUAAUAAAUCAUUUGAGCAGUUUUUUUAAAUAAAUGUGGUUUUGUCUUUGCAGGCGGCGUGAUGGAGUCGAAGAUGUCGAGGUCCUGUCUACCAGUGUUACAGAUACAUUAUCACAAGAAGAACAAAAAGCCUGUCCAUUUCAAUAUUCUAUGGAGUAAAUCCAAAAUGAUAUUAAUAAUAAAUAAACAUAAUGUUCUGUGUCUGUGAUUUUUGUUGCUGAAUGUUCUUAAACAUCUUCGAAAAUAUGGAAUAUAUAUGCUAUAUGGAACAAAAUGUGAUGGAUUUGACCAUAUAAUUAAGAAAAAAGACAUGUUCUCUGCGUUGAAGCUAUGUCUCUAAUGGCUGCAAUUGAGCACGAACAGGCAAGAUAUCUUCUUUCUCAAUUUGUUCUGCCAAAUGACAUUGGAUUGCAUCCCUUUAUUCACCACAGAAGGUCUACAAGCAACAAUGGCAUGAAUGCUCACCAUAUUAUUCAUGCGAUCUGUCCUCCAAAAAGCAUUGAUUUAAUCAUUUUAAUUAAGAAAUUUCAGGCGUAAUAUAUAAGCAGUCCUGAGUUUUUCUUUCCUUUCAAGUUUCAACCAUUAAAAGGGGAAACAUGGAUGGCCCCAUUAUUAUCAUAUAAAACAGUAGACGAUUUGGCGUUUUUUCUUGUAGUAAAUUGUUAUUGUGCUUAACUAUGGACACACACUCAGUGCGCUGAGUGUGCUAUGGUCUCACUGUGUGCUCAAUGUUUUUUUUUUCUUUUUUCUUUUUCUUUUUAAUUUGAAAGACCAAAUUUAAGGCUAGCUUAAGUAAAUUACGAAGGAUGGAUAAAAUAGGUGGCAACUUCGGUUUUUGAGCAAGAUCAAUUCCUCUCUUUAUUUUUUUAUACUCAACCAGGCCUGAGUCAACUAGAUUGCGAGUUAUCCUAUUAAAUUAACUCAGGUUUUAUAAUAAUGAUAUAACUUAUUGCAUUUUUUUUUAUUUGAUUUAAUUUUUUUAAAAAAAUUUAUUUUAUCAAACUUUUAAAAAUUUAGACCUAUUUUUUACCCUUAUUUUUUCCUUAUUUUUUCUUUGUUGUUUUGUAUAUAAAAAAAACCCAUGCAUCUAAUUAGGGUAUAGUUAAAUGAAAAUCAAUUUCAAAAAUAAAAAGUUGUUAAUUCUAGUGGGGUGUGUGACCUAAAUAAUAGAUAUAACUGUUUUGUCCAGGGUUAAUAACUUAUAAAAAGCGUUUUAAUAAUCCAUUACAAAUUUUAUUUUAUUGAGAGGUAAAUUUGUAUAUAGAGAUACUCAUUAAUUUAUCAAUGUUAUAUUUAACAUAUCAAUAGAUACGCUCAUUAACAAAUAAAUCCAUCAUCUUCAAAAUAUUGCCAAUUGGCUCAGGAGUGUUUAAGAGUGUAACAAUAGUUAUUUUUUAAAGUUUUUUUUGCUAAAAAAUACAUUAAAAUACUAUUAAUAUUUUUUAAAAAAAUUAUUUUUAACAUUAGUACAUCAAAGCGAUUCAAAAAUACUAAAAAAAUAAUUUAAAAAUAUAUAUCUUGACAAAAAUACAGGUUGAAACGCAAUGUCCAACACCCCCGCUUUAGAUGAUUGCAAUUAUAUAAAUUAUAAUAUGAGAAUUAAUUGACUCAAUUGAUAUCUCAUGAGCUAAACUUAAGGAUUGGGAUUAAUACAAGGAAAAAAUGGGUUUAACCUAUUUUUAUAUACAUGCCAAACACAAGGAUAUGAAACUUGAUUUUUGAUUUGUUCAUAAACUAGGUUAUCCAUUUAAAAACAAAAUAUUGGUAUAAUUGUUUUUAUUUAUUUUGCAUAUAAAAAUUCAUCUAACAAUAGUUUAAACUAAAUACAUAUUUUUUUAAACUAUAAUUAAAAUUAUUAUUUUCUAAAUUUAAUUUUUUAAAACCCCAAUUAUAAAAGCUAUCACAUUACCAAAUACACACGAAUAACUUCCAAAUGAAUAAUUGUAUAUCCAAGUUCAAGCAGACAAAAUCAAAGUGGGCUUUUGAAGCCCAACACAAAAUACAACUAGGUUUUGUAAGCCCAUAGACUAUGGUUCGUAACCCUACAGGCUUGAGUGAAUUAGACUUUGGUCAUAACUGAACCCAAAAAAAUAGAAAAACUGUUGCACGGUCUCUCGAACCCGAGAGCUAUGGAUUACCUAACCAUAGCUAAAAAAGAAGAAAAAGACAGAUCUGGACAGCGAUCCUUCAUAUGUGCAACGAUCCAUUGGUGCUUGCUGCAUAAAUUAAGACUACCUAAACUCAUAAACAUAGCCGAAGGAGAUGCCCACAUUGACUUUGGAUCAGCCCAUAAGAGCAACAUGCACGAAAUUAAACUCAAAAGCAUGCAGUGGUGUAUAUUGUGAUGUAGCCAAGAGGCAUUGGCGCGGUGUCAUCUCAAAGAAAAAGAAAUUCCGAGCAAAUGUAGAAAUAUUAUUGGAAAAUCCUAGAGGUUAGGAGGAGCCGAUGCCUUUAUUAUAUAGAUAAUUGUUGGCCAUUUAACUGAAUAAGAAACAUAAUGCACAUGGUAGGCUUAAACUUUAGACUUUAGUGGUCGAGAAUGUGUAGAAAAGAGCGAAGGGGGAGUUGUCAAAUGUAGCCAUCGAUGGUUGGUGGUGAAAGGAGCUUUAUCGAAGUCCACCACCCGCAAAAUCUCUCCCUCUAGGCUGGGGUUGGUGGUGAAAGGGAGCUUUAUCAAAGUUCACCGCCUGCAAAAUCUCUCCCUCUAGGUUGGGGUUGGUGGCUGUUUCUGGUAGUCUUCACCUACUGAAGCUGUCUUCUGAGUCUUGUUUCUUAGUGCUGUGUUUCUUGCCAUACUGGGCACACCUAGUGCUGAUUGUGAUUAGAAGAUUUAAGACUUGUCAAAUAAUUAAAAAGAAAGGAUAUAGAAUAUUAUAAAUUAUAUUUUGAAAUUUUUU
Molecule: long non-coding RNA, 3678 nt
Filed under: Populus trichocarpa (black cottonwood)
Lineage: Eukaryota; Viridiplantae; Streptophyta; Magnoliopsida; Malpighiales; Salicaceae
Description: long non-coding RNA (PTRI_LNC004454)
Source: RNAcentral